CUGCCUCUAUGAUGGGGAUAACAGUUGGAAACGACUGCUAAUACCGAAUACGCUCAUGAUGAACUUUGUGAGGAAAGGUGGCCUCUGCUUGCAAGCUAUCGCAUAGAGAUGAGUCCGCGUCCCAUUAGCUAGUUGGUGGGGUAACGGCCUACCAAGGCAACGAUGGGUAGCCGAUCUGAGAGGAUGAUCGGCCACACUGGAACUGAAACACGGUCCAA
Molecule: ribosomal RNA, 218 nt
Filed under: uncultured bacterium
Lineage: Bacteria
Description: partial 16S ribosomal RNA
Rfam family: Bacterial small subunit ribosomal RNA
Source: RNAcentral